RNAcentral lists this long non-coding RNA (2383 nucleotides) under Homo sapiens (human). Its description in RNAcentral is "HSALNT0311336". The record is from RNAcentral. Lineage: Eukaryota; Metazoa; Chordata; Mammalia; Primates; Hominidae.
CCCCUUCCACACUGUGGAAGCUUUGUUCUUUCGCUCUUUGCAAUAAAUCUUGCUACUGCUCACUCUUUGGGUCCACGCUGUUUUAUGAGCUGUAACACUCACCGCGAAGGUCUGCAGCUUCACUCCUGAAGCCAGCGAGACCACGAACCCGCCAGAAGGAAAGAAACUCCGAACACACCCGAACAUCAGAAGGAACAAACUCCAGACGCGCCACCUUAAGAGCUGUAACACUCACCGCAAGGGUCCACGGCUUCAUUCUUGAAGUCAGUGAGACCAAGAACCCACCAAUUCUGGACACAAUAGUACAUGUCACACCAAUGCCAAUUCCAGACUAACAUCCUGAAGCUCCAGUUUUGAGGGGUGCAAGCUGCAAGACUGAUAUCAACAUCCACCAAAUACCACUGAUGAGUGGCAAGUAUUAAAAAAACACAGAAAAUCCCACAGCAUGUUGUGGGUUGAAUUAUGCUUCUUCCCUCCCCAGAAGAGUAGGGCUUUCAGAACUAAGGCUGCACACCUAUGACCAUCUGAUCUUCAACAAAGCUGACAAAAACAAGCAACGGGGAAAGGACUUCCUAAUCAAUAAAUGGUGCUGGGAUAACUGGCUAGCCAUGUGCAGAAGAUUGAAGCUGAACCCCUUCCUUGCGCUAUAUAUGAAAAUCAGCUCAAGAUAGAUUAAAGAGUUAAAUGUGAAAUCCAAAACUAUAAAAACCCUGGAAGACAACCUAGGCAAUACCAUCCUGGACACAGGAACAGGCAAACAUUUCAUGACAAAUACACCAAAAGAAAUUGCAACAAAAGCAAAAAUUGACAAAUGGGAUCUAAUUCAACUUAAGAGCUUCUGCACAGCAAAAGAAACUAUCAGAGUAAAGAGUCAAUCUACAGAAUGGGAGAAAAUUUUUACAAACUACGCAUCAGAAAAAAGUCUAAUAUCCAGCAUCUAUAAGGAAUUAAACAAAUUUACAAGAGAAAAAUAAAUAUCCCCAUUACAAAGUGGGCAAAGUUCAUGAACAGACACUUCUCAAAAGAAGACAUACAUGUGGUCAACAAGCAUCUGAAAAAAUCCAAUAUCACUGAUCAUUAGAGAAAUGCAAAUCAAAACCACAAUGAGAUACCAUCUGACACCAGUCAGAAUGGCUAUUAUAAAAAGUUAAACAAACAAACAAAAAACAACCCAACAGAUGCUUGUGAGGUUGCAGAGAAAUGGGAACACUUAUACACUGUUGGUGGGAGUGUAAAUUAGUUCAGUCAUCGUGGAAAGCAGUAUGGCAAUUCCUCAAAGAACUAAAAACAGAACUACCAUUCAACCCAGCAAUCCCAUUACUGGGUACAUACCCAAAGGAGUAUAAAUCAUUCUACCAUAAAGACACAUACACAUGUAUGUUCACUGCAGCACUAUUCACAAUAGCAAAGACAUGCAAUCAACUUAAAUGCCCAUCAAUGACAGACUGGAUAAGGAAAAUGUGGCACAUAUACACCAUGGAAUAUGAUGCAGCCGUAAAAAAGAACAAGACCAUGUCUUUUAUGGGAACAUGAGUGGAGAUGGAGGCUAUUAGCCUUAGCAAACUAACAAAGGAACAGAAAACCAAAUACCACAUGUUCUCACUUAUAGGUGGAAGCUAAAUGAUGAGAACUCAUGAACACGAGGAAGGGAAAAACAGACACUGGGGUCUACUGGAGGGUGGAGGGUAGGAGAAGGGAGAGGAGCAGAAAGAUAACUAUUGGGUACUGGGCUUAAUAACUGGGUAAUGAAAUAAUCUGUACAACAAACCCCUGUGACAGAAGUUUACCUGUAUAACAAACCUUCACAUGUACUCUUGAACCUAAAAUAAAAGUUAAAAAUGAACACAAAAUUGUUCUUUCCAUCAAAAAGUAGGGCUUUUAGAAAUGCAUAAUAUAAUGAAGUUUUUAAUCAAAUAUGUCAAUAACAACAUCAAUAUGCAUAUCCUGUUGAAUUAUAAUGAAAGCACAUCCAAUUCAAUUAUGAAAACCUAUACAUUUUUAUUUUGCUUCUUUAAUAUAAAAAUAUCUAGGUCGGGCGUGGUGCCUCAUGCCUGUAAUCCCAGCACUUUGGGAGGCCGAGGCAGGUGGAUCGCCUGAUAUCAGGAGUUCGAGACCAGCCUGGCCAACAUAAUGAAACCCCGUCUCUACUAAAAACACACAAAAUUAGCUGGGUGUAGUGGUGGGCGCCUGUAAUCCCAGCUACUAGGGAGGCUGAGGCAAGAUUAUUGCUUGAACCCAGGAGGUGGAGGUUGCAGUGAGCUGAGAUAGCGCCAUUGCACUCCAGCCUGGGUAGCAAGAGCGAAUCUCUCUCUCUCUCUCUCUCUCAAAAAAAGAAAAAAAAAGAAAAUCUAAUACCCAAAUCCAUAAUGUUUUCCAAGAUGUA